Molecule: ribosomal RNA, 456 nt
Filed under: bacterium GNCr-1
Lineage: Bacteria
Description: bacterial SSU rRNA
Rfam family: Bacterial small subunit ribosomal RNA
Source: RNAcentral
AGAGUUUGAUCCUGGCUCAGGACGAACGCUGGCGGCGUGCUUAACACAUGCAAGUCGAACGAUGAUGCCCAGCUUGCUGGGCGGAUUAGUGGCGAACGGGUGAGUAACACGUGAGUAACCUGCCCUUGACUUCGGGAUAACUCCGGGAAACCGGGGCUAAUACCGGAUAUGAGCCGUCUUCGCAUGGGGGUGGUUGGAAAGUUUUUCGGUCAGGGAUGGGCUCGCGGCCUAUCAGCUUGUUGGUGGGGUGAUGGCCUACCAAGGCGACGACGGGUAGCCGGCCUGAGAGGGCGACCGGCCACACUGGGACUGAGACACGGCCCAGACUCCUACGGGAGGCAGCAGUGGGGAAUAUUGCACAAUGGGCGAAAGCCUGAUGCAGCGACGCCGCGUGAGGGAUGAAGGCCUUCGGGUUGUAAACCUCUUUCAGCAGGGAAGAAGCGCAAGUGACGGUAC